Micropterus dolomieu (smallmouth bass) is the source of this 910-nucleotide long non-coding RNA. RefSeq lists it as uncharacterized. The record is from RefSeq and is a predicted model, not a curated record. NCBI's taxonomy places the organism in Eukaryota, Metazoa, Chordata, Actinopteri, Centrarchiformes, Centrarchidae. The transcript has 2 exons.
GUGAGUUUAGGAGAGAAACUCUGUAAUUGUGGGAAAACACUGCACUCCCUUGUCCCCGGAGAGCAGAGCGAACAGAUAAAAGCAGACAGUUUAGAGGGCUUGUCCAGGCCACUUAACAUUUCCUGUAACACAGAGUGCUAACCUGGCGAUAAUGCUGACAGUACAGAGAGCAGAGCUUCAGCUGUCAUCCCCUCGAAGGAGCUAAUUCGCUUUACCACCAGAAGGGAGUUUGUUUAAGUGUUUUUAUCCUUGCUGCUUAAAAUUAGAAAUGAGUCAAGGAAGAGAAAGUGGGAGAAAGAAUUAAGGGAAGGUUGAAAUAACAGUGUGCAUAUUACACUUUGUUCAACCUCCCACAAAGGAGCCAUCUGUUAUUUUGUAACUUGUAUCUGUUUUGCCUGGCGGGGUUGCAAGGAAGUGGAAUUACCUACAAUACAGACGUGAAGAAAUCUCUGCACCAAACGGAGCUCUGAGAGUCCAGCUCCGUGGGCGGGGCCUCCCUCCUUCACUUGCUUGACGAAAAUGGUGUCCAUUGGCUCCAGACGGUUUCGCUGUCUCCCUGGCAACGAGAGAGAGAGAUUGAGAGAGAGAGAGAGAGAGAGAGAGAGAGAGGUCACACAGCGAGGAAGAGCAGCAGCUGAAUCAGAACUAGGCCACAUUGCACUGGAAGUGGAAAUUCAACUGCAGCAACAUUGUGGCAUCAGAGCACGUGUUUUUCCAUUUGUGUUAUUUGUAUUGCAAUUUACUAUCUGGUCUUUCUCACUCAAAUAAUACAAAGUGAAAAUACUUCCUGGUUGUAAAAAGAGCUGCUGAAAAGCCAAAAAGUCUGUUUAUCUAAAGAAAGCAGCUUAGUUGUCAGUUAACAUAUAACUAUUAAUUGUUUAAUUUGUUAUUAAAGCAAAAAUGAAAAACA